CCUACGGGUGGCAGCAGUGAGGAAUAUUGGUCAAUGGGCGCGAGCCUGAACCAGCCAAGUAGCGUGAAGGAUGACUGCCCUAUGGGUUGUAAACUUCUUUUAUAAAGGAAUAAAGUGAGGCACGUGUGCCUUUUUGUAUGUACUUUAUGAAUAAGGAUCGGCUAACUCCGUGCCAGCAGCCGCGGUAAUACGGAGGAUCCGAGCGUUCUCCGGAUUUAUUGGGUUUAAAGGGAGCGUAGAUGGGUUGUUAAGUUAGUUGUGAAAGUUUGGGGCUCAACCGUAAAAAUGCAAUUGAUACUGGCAGCCUUGAGUACAGUUGAGGUAGGCGGAAUGCGUGGUGUAGCGGUGAAAUGCAUAGAUAUCACGAAGAACUCCGAUUGCGAAGGCAGCUUACUAAACUGCCACUGACAUUGAUGCUCGAAAGUGUGGGUAUCAAACAGGAUUAGAUACCCCAGUAGUC
RNAcentral lists this ribosomal RNA (460 nucleotides) under uncultured bacterium. RNAcentral's name for it is "partial 16S ribosomal RNA". It matches the Rfam family "Bacterial small subunit ribosomal RNA", at positions 338 to 795 of the family's 1533-position model. The record is from RNAcentral.